AACACGUGAGUAACCUGCCCUUGACUCUGGGAUAAGUUUGGGAAACUGGGUCUAAUACCGGAUAUGACCGUCUGACGCAUGUCAUGGUGGUGGAAAGCUUUUGUGGUUUUGGAUGGACUCGCGGCCUAUCAGUUUGUUGGUGGGGUAAUGGCCUACCAAGGCGACGACGGGUAGCCGGCCUGAGAGGGUGACCGGCCACACUGGGACUGAGACACGGCCCAGACUCCUACGGGAGGCAGCAGUGGGGAAUAUUGCACAAUGGGCGGAAGCCUGAUGCAGCGACGCCGCGUGAGGGAUGACGGCCUUCGGGUUGUAAACCUCUUUCAGUAGGGAAGAAGCGAAAGUGACGGUACCUGCAGAAGAAGCGCCGGCUAACUACGUGCCAGCAGCCGCGGUAAUACGUAGGGCGCAAGCGUUAUCCGGAAUUAUUGGGCGUAAAGAGCUCGUAGGCGGUUUGUCGCGUCUGCUGUGAAAGACCGGGGCUCAACUCCGGUUCUGCAGUGGGUACGGGCAGACUAGAGUGCAGUAGGGGAGACUGGAAUUCCUGGUGUAGCGGUGAAAUGCGCAGAUAUCAGGAGGAACACCGAUGGCGAAGGCAGGUCUCUGGGCUGUAACUGACGCUGAGGAGCGAAAGCAUGGGGA
This 642-nucleotide ribosomal RNA is filed under the name Arthrobacter sp. A23MCE. Its description in RNAcentral is "bacterial SSU rRNA". It matches the Rfam family "Bacterial small subunit ribosomal RNA", at positions 112 to 767 of the family's 1533-position model. Lineage: Bacteria; Bacillati; Actinomycetota; Actinomycetes; Micrococcales; Micrococcaceae. The record is from RNAcentral.